This 292-nucleotide ribosomal RNA is filed under the name uncultured bacterium. RNAcentral's name for it is "partial 16S ribosomal RNA". It matches the Rfam family "Bacterial small subunit ribosomal RNA", at positions 505 to 796 of the family's 1533-position model. The record is from RNAcentral.
GUGCCAGCCGCCGCGGUAAGACGAACCGUCUAAACGUUAUUCGGUAUCACUGGGCUUAAAGCGUGCGUAGGCGGCCUGGUAGGUGAGAUGUGAAAGCCCACGGCUCAACCGUGGAAUUGCGUUUCAAACCACCAGGCUUGAGGAUGGCAGGGGUGAUGGGAACUGAUGGUGGAGCGGUGAAAUGCGUUGAUAUCAUCAGGAACACCGGUGGCGAAGGCGCAUCACUGGGCCAUUUCUGACGCUGAGGCACGAAAGCUAGGGUAGCGAACGGGAUUAGAAACCCCAGUAGUCC